ACAUCACUUCGAUUGUAUUCGGUACUCUGAACAGAAUGAAUUGGCUUCCACUAAUGCUGGUUGGGCUCUGGGCGGCAGAGUCUUUGGCAAGAAUACCCUAAUGGUUCGGUGGCAAUGGAUUACUUGGCCGAUGAAUGGGCCACAACAGUGAGCAGGUACCCGCCACUAUCCAUUGAACUUGGCGAUAAAAUGGGAAAACUUUUUAACAAAAAUUUCAAGCAUCUGGAGUGAUCUGUGGACUCUACAUAUUGGCAAAACUGCACCAUCAGAUGUUGGAACGGGGUAACGAUCUUAUUGAAGACACAGAGGAAUGCCGUGAAAACUUACAACCAAAGAUUGAACUGUUAAAAUCAAACAUUAACCCACAACCAAUUGGCUUGGACGAAGAUUUGGACUCACUCAUCAGACAGUGCCAGGUAUUCUUGAUCUUAUCACCUGGAAAUGUGGCGAUCCCUACACCGGUAAGUUUAUACGAUACCUGCUCAUUCAUGUACGUAGAAAAAAAUCACUGAUAAAUAUCAGAAAGGUCAUAUAUGCUCCCGAUAGACCCGAUGGGAAAACACGUGACAACAUAGGUAAUAACAUGCAACGACUAUGUUAUGAAGAAUUAAGGCUACGUCCCUGCGCGCUUUGCGGUCUAGUUAUUUUCGAUUUUUAUACAACUAGGGGCUUCGCUAUUUAGGUUUUCCGCUCCGUGGUUUUCGGCGUGGUUGUCGGCCCUACAAAAACAUCGUGCUGGCGACUUGGACAAUAAUAUAGUUUUUCACUCUUUUAACUUGAGGACCUGGACCGCGAAUACGCUGGUACCGUCAACCUGGGCUCCUGAAAUUGGCUGUUUCCAUCGAUCUGAACGAUCUGAGCAACGAAUAUUGCUGAGCGCUAACGAAAAAUGCCACUCCGGGACGCAGGAUCUACACGUCGAAAACCACAAUGCGAAAAAGCUAACUUGAUGCGUUUUAACAAGAUCUCUUUAUAGAUGUAGCGAGAUUUAUUUGGUAACAUAACAAUUUUUCCCCAAUUUUUCGGCAAUUGUAAGUCCGAGGCGCAGGAUAUAGACGCCGAAGACCACGAAGCGAAAGGCUGGUGAAGCCAGCUUCGGGGGUAUUAAACAGCUAGCUUGAUGCUUCUUCCGUUUUAAAAAAGUCAACUUCAGAGGCUUAAUAUGAUAUUUUUAUAGAUAUAUAGAGAUUAUGUAUGUUUUCACAUCGCAGAACCUCGGUGCAUUGCCAGCAGAACAAAUAGUGCCUCAAAGAUAAAAUGAAAAGAUUAUUCAAUAAUAAUUACAAUAAUAAUAAUGAUGAAAAUAUUACCGUGAUGGAAUGUAGUGCACGCAUAGAAUUGUGUAUGAGGAGUACGGUAAAACAACAAAAAAUGUUUAUAAAUUAUACCAAGGUGUUGGAGUUUCUGUUGUAAAAACAGUUAAUUUGGAAAAUAUUGUCGUUAUUCUAAUGAACGUUGUUUAUUUAAACACAUGGCCGAGAAAAGAAAUGGGGACACAUGUGUAGAGUUUAUCUAUGUAAAAUUACGACACUAUGCCACAGGUAAUACCGUUUUUUCGAAAGAUCAACAAUCCUUUUUUUCCAAUAUCAUUGCUCGUUAAGUAUAUAAGGUUCAGAUUAUUUGACGCUGACCGCUAGUAUGAUAUAUGUUUACGAUACGAUAUACGGUACGACAUAUAUUUUAAAAAAUAUGAGGUGGUGCCUGGCGAUAUUGUUUUUUGGACUCACGUCUACAGUAUGUUCUGGACACAUGUGCGAGCCCGUUUAUGGGGUGGACUUCGAAUUGCUGACCUCUGCAUAUGCGGCGGGUGCUGAAAGUUUUCCAACACCGACUAUCGAAUUCCAUGAUCGCUCAGCGUGCAAAUUUGGAAUGAAAUACACGAAUGACGUAAUGUCAUACAUCGAGUCACUUUUCCUCAAUGUAUACCUUCAGGCUGAUCAGACAGGUCAUCAACUGGUCAAGGCUAUUAAAGAUUGCUCUAAUGUGUUAAGAGGAGCGAUCUUAUCCAUUGGGAACAUUCAAGAGACACACACCAGUAUAGAAGAAAGUUUGACAUCGCUGAUUGGACAGGUUAAAGUAUUUUUGAGUCUAGUUCCUGGAAACGUGGACGUCAAAUUCGCGGCUCUACCCGAUUUACCUGCGGAACAAGUAACUAUCCCGCUUUCCAUUGACAAGGAGCUAUCAGCGGCUGAUUACUUUCUCCAUUGGGCAGAAACAGCAGACUCGGUUUUCGUCAGAUUGUAUGGGUACAUUACUGGAAUGUUCCUAUCCGGCUGGAGUAACGCUAGGUUGUAUUUCAACGUCGUUGGAACACAAAUUCGUAACCAGGUUCUGACUUCAACAGCCUUGACUAACUACAAGAUUGCCGUUGCCGAAGUGCUCAGUCAGUCUGAUCUAAUUCAAAGUCACUGCACAAACGAAACAUGGGGAUUAUUCCAAGAAGUCGCUUCCGAAGUAGCUGCAGUUUCGCACAACGUGCAAGACGCGUUGGAAAACUAUAACACAUGCCUUGCAUAAUAUAACACUGUGCACUACCUUUGUAUCCAUCGUUAAAUGAAAUGAAUGUAUUGCUUUAUCCAAUUUGCUUGAUAUGAAAAUAUAAUAUUUCUCAAUUUACUCUCUUGGCAACUGAA
RNAcentral lists this unclassified non-coding RNA (2633 nucleotides) under Neodiprion pinetum (white pine sawfly). RNAcentral describes it as "uncharacterized LOC124218869, transcript variant X3". Lineage: Eukaryota; Metazoa; Arthropoda; Insecta; Hymenoptera; Diprionidae. The record is from RNAcentral.